Molecule: ribosomal RNA, 467 nt
Filed under: uncultured bacterium
Lineage: Bacteria
Description: partial 16S ribosomal RNA
Rfam family: Bacterial small subunit ribosomal RNA
Source: RNAcentral
GACGAACGCUGGCGGCGUGCUUAACACAUGCAAGUCGAACGGAAAGGCUCCAGCUUGCUGGCGUACUCGAUUGGCGAACGGGUGAGUAACACGUGGGUAAUCUGCCCUGCACUCUGGGAUAAGCCUGGGAAACUGGGUCUAAUACUGGAUAUGACCUUUCUCCUUAUGGGGUUUGGUGGAAAGUUUUUCGGUGUAGGAUGAGCCCGCGGCCUAUCAGCUUGUUGGUGGGGUGAUGGCCUACCAAGGCGACGACGGGUAGCCGGCCUGAGAGGGUGAUCGGCCACAUUGGGACUGAGAUACGGCCCAGACUCCUACGGGAGGCAGCAGUGGGGAAUAUUGCACAAUGGGCGGAAGCCUGAUGCAGCGACGCCGCGUGAGGGAUGACGGCCUUCGGGUUGUAAACCUCUUUCAGCAGGGACGAAGCGUAAGUGACGGUACCUGCAGAAGAAGCACCGGCUAACUACGUG